This 473-nucleotide ribosomal RNA is filed under the name uncultured organism. RNAcentral's name for it is "partial 16S ribosomal RNA". It matches the Rfam family "Bacterial small subunit ribosomal RNA", at positions 334 to 798 of the family's 1533-position model. The record is from RNAcentral.
CACUCCUACGGGAGGCAGCAGUGGGGAAUUUUGGACAAUGGGCGAAAGCCUGAUCCAGCAAUGCCGCGUGAGUGAAGAAGGCCUUCGGGUUGUAAAGCUCUUUUGUCAGGGAAGAAACGGUGAGAGCUAAUAUCUCUUGCUAAUGACGGUACCUGAAGAAUAAGCACCGGCUAACUACGUGCCAGCAGCCGCGGUAAUACGUAGGGUGCAAGCGUUAAUCGGAAUUACUGGGCGUAAAGCGUGCGCAGGCGGUUUUGUAAGUCUGAUGUGAAAUCCCCGGGCUCAACCUGGGAAUUGCAUUGGAGACUGCAAGGCUAGAAUCUGGCAGAGGGGGGUAGAAUUCCACGUGUAGCAGUGAAAUGCGUAGAUAUGUGGAGGAACACCGAUGGCGAAGGCAGCCCCCUGGGUCAAGAUUGACGCUCAUGCAUGAAAGCGUGGGGAGCAAACAGGAUUAGAAACCCGUGUAGUCCCAU